GAUGAACGCUGGCGGCGUGCCUAAUACAUGCAAGUCGAGCGAACAGAUGAGGAGCUUGCUCCUCUGACGUUAGCGGCGGGCGGGUGAGUAACGCGCGGAUAACCUACCUAUAAGACUGGGAUAACUACGGGAAACCGGAGCUAACACCGUAUAAUAUAUUGAACCGCAUGGUUCAAUAGUGAAAGACGGUUUUGCUGUCACUUAUAGAUGGAUCCGCGCCGCAUUAGCUAGUUGGUAAGGUAACGGCUUGCCACGGCAACGAUGCGUAGCCGACCGGCGAGGGGGGUCGGCCACCCUAGAACGGGACCACGGUCCAGGCUCCUACGGGAGGCAGCAGUAGGGUAUCGUCCGCAAGGGGCGAAAGCAUGGCGGAACAACGCCAAGUGAGUGAUGAAGGUCUUCGGAUCGUAAUACUCUGUUAUUAGGGAAGAACAAAUGUGUAAGUAACUGUGCCCGUCUUGACGGUACCUAAUCAGAAAGCCCCGGCUAACUACGUG
RNAcentral lists this ribosomal RNA (497 nucleotides) under uncultured bacterium. RNAcentral describes it as "partial 16S ribosomal RNA". It matches the Rfam family "Bacterial small subunit ribosomal RNA", at positions 28 to 507 of the family's 1533-position model. The record is from RNAcentral.